Cinara cedri is the source of this 351-nucleotide non-coding RNA. NCBI's taxonomy places the organism in Eukaryota, Metazoa, Arthropoda, Insecta, Hemiptera, Aphididae. The record is from the annotation of a GenBank genome assembly.
GCCCGGGGUCGCGGAAAUGUCGGACGAAAGAGCCCGUUAGAUUCGCCGUUACGUACCGAAACGAUACGUUCAACCGCGAUUAAUAUCAAUAACGGCGGUUCCGAAUAGUACGGGCGCCGUUUCGGACAUUUCAACGGGGUUCCGGGUGGCCCGUUUUUGGAGCGGACAACAGUAAAGUGUCCGUGCGCGAAGGAAACGCGCCGGAAAUAAGUGUCGUUUUUGCCGACGAACUAUACCGGGGCAACGGGAAACGCGCCGUUCGAACAAUAGUAUUGCAACCGUUCUCCGGACGACCGGAAUUUACACCUCGGGGGCACACGAAACCCCGGACAGUAUCGCGACAUUUUCUCG